UUGUGCUUGGUUUUAUCCUAUGACUCUGAGUUAUCCAGCCUCUGGUUCUGUCAAUGGUGCUGUCUGGUGGCAUAAGUCUAUUUUGAGGAUAGACUGAAAUCAGAUUCACUGUUCUUCCAAAGGCCAGCAACCUGGAACAUAGAGAAGGACUAAGUUCUCUCUACAGAAUGACAUUAACUACAUGUGUCAUAGAUCCAGAAAUAAGGACAUCAUCUGCUUGAAAACAUUAAGUUGCUGAUUUAAGUGAUCUGUUAUUUCAAAAGAAAUAUACAGGCCUAUAAUGGUA
Non-coding RNA from Peromyscus maniculatus bairdii (prairie deer mouse), 286 nucleotides. NCBI's taxonomy places the organism in Eukaryota, Metazoa, Chordata, Mammalia, Rodentia, Cricetidae. The record is from RefSeq and is a predicted model, not a curated record.